AACUUUCAACAAUGGAUCUCUUGGUUCUGGCAUCGAUGAAGAACGCAGCGAAAUGCGAUAAGUAGUGUGAAUUGCAGACUUUAGUGAAUCAUCGAAUCUUUGAACGCACAUUGCGCCCCUUGGUAUUCCAUUGGGCAUGCCUGUUCGAGCGUCAUUU
This 157-nucleotide ribosomal RNA is filed under the name Dictyosporium alatum. RNAcentral describes it as "5.8S ribosomal RNA". It matches the Rfam family "5.8S ribosomal RNA". From Rfam's summary of the family: 5.8S ribosomal RNA (5.8S rRNA) is a component of the large subunit of the eukaryotic ribosome. It is transcribed by RNA polymerase I as part of the 45S precursor that also contains 18S and 28S rRNA. Lineage: Eukaryota; Fungi; Ascomycota; Dothideomycetes; Pleosporales; Dictyosporiaceae. The record is from RNAcentral. RNAcentral also lists the same sequence under 13 other names.